Long non-coding RNA from Daucus carota subsp. sativus, 795 nucleotides. RefSeq lists it as uncharacterized. Lineage: Eukaryota; Viridiplantae; Streptophyta; Magnoliopsida; Apiales; Apiaceae. The transcript is spliced from 3 exons. The record is from RefSeq and is a predicted model, not a curated record.
UCUCUCUCACCCCUCUCUCUCUCACGCCUCUCUUAUUUCUCUCUCGCACCACCCUCUUAAUCUUCUUUGUCUCUCACGCAAGGCACUUCUGUUUAGCACAUACGUUUAAUUGUUUCAAUUACAUCUCAAUUGCGAAUUAGGGCUGUCGAAUUUGGGGGUUUUCAGUUCUGAGUUCAAAUUAAGACUUAUUAACUCAAACUUCUUCGACUAAUCGCUCUCUUUCUUUGUUUGUAGGUACGAUUUGAGUUACUGGGAUUCAAUAUGUGUUAAGUUGUUCAGGUAAUGGUAAGGGUUGAAACAGCUGCAGAGGGAGCGAGCCGAUAGUAGGAACUUGUUCAGGUGUGUUCUGGAGCUGAGGAUGAAUGGGUUGGCUUUCUUAUGUCUAAAAGAGCUUCAGGAGCUAAGGAUGAAUGAACUUGCUUUUGUCUUGCCUGACAGCGGAGCUGAGCAUAUUGUCUCUAAUUUCAGUAACAGAGAAAGCCUUAUGUGUAUCCAAAAUGAAGGAAAUCAUUUGCAAUUAGGAGCUAAAGAUGCUCUUCUUAAUAGCCUUCUUGUUGCAGCUAAAAAAUUCAGCUCGGGUCCCCCAAAGAUUCUUCAACUUACUUGGCAGGCUCUUUUGGUCAUUGUUGUACUAUAAAAGAAUGCUCUUUCUGUUAUGAAAAUAUUUCAGUAGUAGUGCUGCUUCUGUUGAUUGAUCUAAUCUAGUGAUCAACUGUCAUGUAAAUUGGAAUGUGCAUUUUUAGCGUGUUGGAAAUCCAAGACCAAAGUACAUAUAUUAGGCGAUGCUUGUAUGGC